RNAcentral lists this microRNA (20 nucleotides) under Canis lupus familiaris (dog). Its description in RNAcentral is "cfa-miR-8845". The record is from miRBase by way of RNAcentral. Lineage: Eukaryota; Metazoa; Chordata; Mammalia; Carnivora; Canidae.
UGCAAGGCAGGACCGACACC